GGACCCGCACAAGCGGUGGAUGAUGUGGAUUAAUUCGAAGCAACGCGCAGAACCUUACCAGCCUUUGACAUCCUGGUCGCGGUUAGAGGAGACUCUUACCUUCAGUUCGGCUGGACCAGUGACAGGUGCUGCAUGGCUGUCGUCAGCUCGUGUCGUGAGAUGUUGGGUUAAGUCCCGCAACGAGCGCAACCCUCGUCCUUAGUUGCUACCAUUUAGUUGGGCACUUAAGGAAACUGCCGGUGAUAAGCCGGAGGAAGGUGGGGAUGACGUCAAGUCCUCAUGGCCCUUACAGGCUGGGCUACACACGUGCUACAAUGGCGAUGACAGUGGGCAGCGACCCCGCAAGGGUGGAGCUAA
RNAcentral lists this ribosomal RNA (357 nucleotides) under uncultured bacterium. Its description in RNAcentral is "bacterial SSU rRNA". It matches the Rfam family "Bacterial small subunit ribosomal RNA", at positions 917 to 1271 of the family's 1533-position model. The record is from RNAcentral.